UGGAGAUAUAGCUCAGUUGGUAGAGUGCUUGCCUUGCAAGCAUAAGGCCCUGAGUUUGAUCCCCAGCACUAA
This 72-nucleotide transfer RNA is filed under the name Marmota monax (woodchuck). RNAcentral describes it as "tRNA.Ala". It matches the Rfam family "tRNA". From Rfam's summary of the family: Transfer RNA (tRNA) molecules are approximately 80 nucleotides in length. Their secondary structure includes four short double-helical elements and three loops (D, anti-codon, and T loops). Lineage: Eukaryota; Metazoa; Chordata; Mammalia; Rodentia; Sciuridae. The record is from RNAcentral.